GGACGUAUCACAAGUGCGAAUGCUGACAUAAGUAACGAUAAAACGGGUGAAAAACCCGUUCGCCGGAAGACCAAGGGUUCCUGUCCAACGUUAAUCGGGGCAGGGUGAGUCGGCUCCUAAGGCGAGGCUGAAAAGCGUAGUCGAUGGGAAACAGGUUAAUAUUCCUGUACUUGGUAAAGCUGCGAUGUGGGGACGGAGUAGGUUAGGUUAUCGCACUGUUGGAUAUGUGCGUUUAAGUUGGUAGGUGGGAAGUUUAGGCAAAUCCGGACUUCCUUAACACAGAGAGAUGAUGACGAGGCUCUACGGAGCUGAAGUAACUGAUACCACACUUCCAGGAAAAGCCACUAAGCGAAAGGCUUUACUAAACCGUACUGAAAACCGACACAGGUGGUCAGGUAGAGAAUACUCAGGCGCUUGAGAGAACUCGGGUGAAGGAACUAGGCAAAAUAGCACCGUAACUUCGGGAGAAGGUGCGCCGGCGUAGAUUGUAGUCCCUAGCGGGCGAAGGUUGAACCGGUCGAAGAUACCAGCUGGCUGCAACUGUUUAUUAAAAACACAGCACUCUGCAAACACGAAAGUGGACGUAUAGGGUGUGAUGCCUGCCCGGUGCUGGAAGGUUAAUUGAUGGUGUCAUCGCAAGAGAAGCACCUGAUCGAAGCCCCAGUAAACGGCGGCCGUAACUAUAACGGUCCUAAGGUAGCGAAAUUCCUUGUCGGGUAAGUUCCGACCUGCACGAAUGGCAUAAUGAUGGCCAGGCUGUCUCCACCCGAGACUCAGUGAAAUUGAAAUCGCCGUGAAGAUGCGGUGUACCCGCGGCUAGACGGAAAGACCCCGUGAACCUUUACUAUAGCUUGACACUGAACAUUGAAUUUUGAUGUGUAGGAUAGGUGGGAGCCUUUGAAGCAGUGACGCCAGUCAUUGUGGAGGCGACCUUGAAAUACCACCCUUUAACGUUUGAUGUUCUAACGAAGAUGACGAAACGUGGUCUCGGACAGUGUCUGGUGGGUAGUUUGACUGGGGCGGUCUCCUCCCAAAGCGUAACGGAGGAGCACGAAGGUUUGCUAAUCACGGUCGGACAUCGUGAGGUUAGUGCAAUGGUAUAAGCAAGCUUAACUGCGAGACAGACAAGUCGAGCAGGUACGAAAGUAGGUCAUAGUGAUCCGGUGGUUCUGAAUGGAAGGGCCAUCGCUCAACGGAUAAAAGGUACUCCGGGGAUAACAGGCUGAUACCGCCCAAGAGUUCAUAUCGACGGCGGUGUUUGGCACCUCGAUGUCGGCUCAUCACAUCCUGGGGCUGAAGUAGGUCCCAAGGGUAUGGCUGUUCGCCAUUUAAAGUGGUACGCGAGCUGGGUUUAGAACGUCGUGAGACAGUUCGGUCCCUAUCUGCCGUGGGCGUUGGAUGAUUGAUUGGGGCUGCUCCUAGUACGAGAGGACCGGAGUGGACGCAUCACUGGUGUUCCAGUUGUCUCGCCAGAGGCAUUGCUGGGUAGCUAAAUGCGGAAGAGAUAAGUGCUGAAAGCAUCUAAGCACGAAACUUGCCAAGAGAUGAGUCAUCCCUGACUUUAAGUCAGUAAGGGUUGUUGU
This 1583-nucleotide ribosomal RNA is filed under the name Haemophilus influenzae. RNAcentral describes it as "bacterial LSU rRNA". It matches the Rfam family "Bacterial large subunit ribosomal RNA", at positions 1275 to 2841 of the family's 2925-position model. Lineage: Bacteria; Pseudomonadati; Pseudomonadota; Gammaproteobacteria; Pasteurellales; Pasteurellaceae. The record is from RNAcentral.